Molecule: ribosomal RNA, 415 nt
Filed under: uncultured Archaeoglobus sp.
Lineage: Archaea; Methanobacteriati; Methanobacteriota; Archaeoglobi; Archaeoglobales; Archaeoglobaceae
Description: bacterial SSU rRNA
Rfam family: Archaeal small subunit ribosomal RNA
Source: RNAcentral
GUGCACCAGGCGAGAAACCUCCGCAAUGCGGGAAACCGCGACGGGGUCAGCCGGAGUGCCGAUGCUUGCAUCGGCUGUCGGGGAGCCUAAAAAGCUCUCCAAGCAAGGGCCGGGCAAGGCCGGUGGCAGCCGCCGCGGUAAUACCGGCGGCCCGAGUGGCGGUCACUAUUAUUGGGCUUAAAGCGUCCGUAGCCGGGUUGGUUAGUCUCCCGGGAAAUCUGGCCGCUCAACGGUCAGAAUUCCGGGAGAUACUGCCAGCCUAGGGACCGGGAGAGGCCGAGGGUAUUCCCGGAGUAGGGGUGAAAUCCUAUAAUCCCGGGAGGACCACCUGUGGCGAAGGCGCUCGGCUGGAACGGGUCCGACGGUGAGGGACGAAGGCCAGGGGAGCAAACCGGAUUAGAUACCCUCGUAGUCC